GGGGUGGAGAUCAAAACAGGCAAAGUGGAUGGUAAUGGCGAGCAUAUCCUUAUCCAACCCGAGGAUAUCCAGCUCUCUACUGUGGAUGAUUUAGCAUCCACUCACAUAGUCAAGCUAAGUGAAGAUGUGAGCAUGGGUGAGGUGCUGUUUAGUGGCGAGUACAUCCAAGGUGACGGAUCGGCCGAGGAACAUACAUCGCUGAUGACGCCGUCUCCCUCCAGGAAGGUCAUGAGUACUCCUCAAACAGGAAGAAAAGGAGAAUAAUUUACAAACUUGCAAGAUAUGGACCAGAUGAUCUUCAAAGAGCAAUUGAAGAUGUACGUUCAGGAAUGGGAACUCUGCGAGAAAUUGCUGAGCGAUGGGGUGUACCGCACUCCACUCUGUCUAUUCAUGCAAGAAUGGCAGGUGUAGCUGUCCAGCAGAGAAGUUUGAUCUAUGACAGUGAAACUCUGGAAGCAGCAAAGCAGGCAG
Cherax quadricarinatus is the source of this 471-nucleotide non-coding RNA. Lineage: Eukaryota; Metazoa; Arthropoda; Malacostraca; Decapoda; Parastacidae. The record is from RefSeq and is a predicted model, not a curated record.